Molecule: ribosomal RNA, 495 nt
Filed under: uncultured bacterium
Lineage: Bacteria
Description: partial 16S ribosomal RNA
Rfam family: Bacterial small subunit ribosomal RNA
Source: RNAcentral
GACGAACGCUGGCGGCGUGCCUAAUACAUGCAAGUAGAACGCUGAAGGAGGAGCUUGCUUCUCUGGAUGAGUUGCGAACGGGUGAGUAACGCGUAGGUAACCUGCCUGGUAGCGGGGGAUAACUAUUGGAAACGAUAGCUAAUACCGCAUAAGAGUAGAUGUUGCAUGACAUUUGCUUAAAAGGUGCAAUUGUGUCACUACCAGAUGGACCUGCGUUGUAUUAGCUAGUUGGUGGGGUAACGGCUCACCAAGGCGACGAUACAUAGCCGACCUGAGAGGGUGAUCGGCCACACUGGGACUGAGACACGGCCCAGACUCCUACGGGAGGCAGCAGUAGGGAAUCUUCGGCAAUGGACGGAAGUCUGACCGAGCAACGCCGCGUGAGUGAAGAAGGUUUUCGGAUCGUAAAGCUCUGUUGUAAGAGAAGAACGAGUGUGAGAGUGGAAAGUUCACACUGUGACGGUAUCUUACCAGAAAGGGACGGCUAACUACGUG